Molecule: long non-coding RNA, 244 nt
Organism: Homo sapiens (human)
Lineage: Eukaryota; Metazoa; Chordata; Mammalia; Primates; Hominidae
Source: Ensembl
UUGCAAGAAGAGUGAGUGUGGGGCCUUCCCUGGGAAUCAGGGUGCUGGGCAGAGUCAGAGGAGGGAACCGAGAGCUCAGCAGGCAGGAGCAGGACAGUGACAAGCUUCCCACAUCCCCUUUCUGGAACUCCAGGCUUGUCUUGGCUCCAAAUGGAUCCCAACUGCUCCUGCACCACAGGUGGCUCCUGUGCCUGCGCCGGCUCCUGCAAGUGCAAAGAGUGCAAAUGUACCUCCUGCAAGAAGU